Long non-coding RNA from Aethina tumida (small hive beetle), 184 nucleotides. RefSeq lists it as uncharacterized. The record is from RefSeq and is a predicted model, not a curated record. NCBI's taxonomy places the organism in Eukaryota, Metazoa, Arthropoda, Insecta, Coleoptera, Nitidulidae. The transcript has 3 exons.
UCACAACACAAUGACGAAUCGUAUAAGGAAACAGGGACAGGGCCUUAAAGGUAGUUCCUUAUGAGGAUACAUUCACAACGUGACCGAGAUUUAAUAAGGAGAGAAGAAAAACUAUAAAAGGGAGGUUCUGUACGGCACUACCGUUAAAACAUGUUUGGAAAAUGUUAAGUGAAAGAGAUUACAU